AGAAUGUGGUGUUUCUCGGACUUCUAAUCCGUUGGUCACAGGUUCGAAUCCCGUACGGUCUACCA
Molecule: transfer RNA, 65 nt
Filed under: Paraburkholderia bryophila
Lineage: Bacteria; Pseudomonadati; Pseudomonadota; Betaproteobacteria; Burkholderiales; Burkholderiaceae
Description: tRNA-Ser
Source: RNAcentral